GACGAACGCUGGCGGCGUGCUUAACACAUGCAAGUCGAACGGAAAGGCCCUGCUUUUGUGGGGUGCUCGAGUGGCGAACGGGUGAGUAACACGUGAGUAACCUGCCCUUGACUUUGGGAUAACUUCAGGAAACUGGGGCUAAUACCGGAUAGGAGCUCCUGCUGCAUGGUGGGGGUUGGAAAGUUUCGGCGGUUGGGGAUGGACUCGCGGCUUAUCAGCUUGUUGGUGGGGUAGUGGCUUACCAAGGCUUUGACGGGUAGCCGGCCUGAGAGGGUGACCGGCCACAUUGGGACUGAGAUGCGGCCCAGACUCGUACGGGAGGCAGCAGUGGGGAAUAUUGCACAAUGGGCGGAAGCCUGAUGCAGCAACGCCGCGUGCGGGAUGACGGCCUUCGGGUUGUAAACCGCGUUCGCCUGUGACGAAGCGUGAGUGACGGUAAUGGGUAAAGAAGCACCGGCUAACUACGUG
RNAcentral lists this ribosomal RNA (468 nucleotides) under uncultured bacterium. RNAcentral's name for it is "partial 16S ribosomal RNA". It matches the Rfam family "Bacterial small subunit ribosomal RNA", at positions 28 to 507 of the family's 1533-position model. The record is from RNAcentral.